Molecule: RNA transcript, 2295 nt
Organism: Zingiber officinale
Lineage: Eukaryota; Viridiplantae; Streptophyta; Magnoliopsida; Zingiberales; Zingiberaceae
Gene name: protein SUPPRESSOR OF FRI 4-like
Exons: 7
Source: RefSeq, a predicted model, not a curated record
CACUGAAUGAUUCUUUUCUUUCCUUUCAAACAUUACCUAUAAACGCCAUGUAUCUUUCCCUGCGUGCCACCGCGUAGCUUUCCAUAAACUCUUAUAGCGCAGCCGAUUCGGCGAUUUGCUUCUUACAACUCUCAGAUUGUUUUCUUAGUUUCCCUUUUCUAGAUUCGACGAGAUCGGGAAACCCUAAUCCAAUUAUGCUCCCGACGCAUCGGAUCUACAUCCGCUGCCCUAUCGGAGGUGCGUAGAUCUCGCUGGCGGCGGCGGCGAUGGGUAAGAAGAAGAAACGGUCCGAGAAGGUCUGGUGCUAUUACUGCGACAGGGAGUUCGACGACGAGAAGAUCCUCGUCCAGCACCAAAAAGCCAAGCACUUCAAGUGCCAUGUCUGCCACAAGAAGCUCUCCACCGCCGGGGGAAUGACCAUCCACGUACUUCAGGUCCACAAAGAGACCGUCUCCAAGGUCCCUAAUGCUAAACCUGAAAGAGAUUCAACAGAAAUUGAGAUUUAUGGCAUGCAAGGAAUUCCUCAUGACAUCUUAGCAGCUCAUUAUGGAGAAGAUGAAGAGGCAGCAGCAAAAACGGCCAAAGUGGAAGUUCCAUCAAGUGGGUUUGUUGGUGGAAUAGUUCCUGGUUCAUUGGGCAUUAGAUUUCCUCCCCCACCUGCAUAUGGUGCAGUUCGUCCAAUAUACAAUCCUGCUUUUCGUCUACCACGUCCAACUUGGCCUAUUCUAGAUGUCCAACCACAACCUUGGUUUCCUCAAGUGUCUGUUCCAGUUACUCCAGCUGUUGUAGUUCCACAGCAACCCUUAUUUCCUAUUCCAAAUCCUACGACUCCUUUGAUCUCCACUUCUGCUCCUCUAAUCGAGUCACCAUUACAAGCUGGUCCCCCUGGCCUACCCACAUCUAUACCUGCGAUGGUGUCUCAACCUCUGUUUCCGAUUAAUAAUCCAGCUGGCGUUCCUUCUCAGAGUUCCCCAUUUUUAGCAACAUCGACAACAAUAAUUUCUUCAAGCUCUCUAACAAUGUUAAGUGGUGCCGUUGAUGCAAAUUCAACAUCAAAUACUUCUACAGGAGGUGGUUACGUUACACCAAAUGAUCCAGAUGGUAACUUGUAUGCAAACUCCCAUAUGUAUGCUUCCGGUCCAAACACUGAGAACCCUUCAAUUGGACCUCCACCUGUGAUAUCCAACAAGCCCCCUGCCUCCCAUGCCACCGCAAAUGAGGUCUACUUGGUUUGGGAUGAUGAGGCAAUGUCAAUGGAUGAGAGAAGAAUGUCUCUGACAAAGUAUCAGGUGCAUGAUGAAACUAGCCAGGUAAGUUUUUAUUGCCUCCUGUUUUUCAUUUUGACGGAUGUGCAGAUCCAGAAGGUAGGAAACUAAACCAGAAAAAAUAAUCAUUAAAGUUAAUUGCCCUAUAUCUCAAUAUACUCAUCCCAUCUUAAUUCCACUUCUACUUUAAUAUGCAGUAAGAAUGCUUUUAUGAAAAAUUUGUAAAUUUUUAGGAGGAAUUUAUCGCCCUUGUGAGUUUUCUAUGAAGCUUUAGUUUCAAGUGAACUUGAUUACUAAGAAUGAUAUUCUUCUAUUUUCCAAUCCUCGACAUUCUAGUUCUCCUGGUGUUUUAAAAGUUUUUUCAAUUGGCUUUUACAUAAUUUCUACUUUUAGUAAGUUUUAUAAAACUGACAAGCUUUUGCUGCAAAUGAGCGAGGGUUGCCUACCUAGCACCAGGCCUAUCCGAAAAUGUGUAUGUACCGUGUUCUGAUCUAGUUUUUUGGUUUUAUUUAUUAUCCCUCUUGCUUAAUGAGUGGGGGACUUAAGUUGAGCAAAUCAAGAAUAUAUGCCAGCAGGAUUUUCUCAAUUUGUAGCAUUUCUUGUUAUCUGUUUUUGAUCACAUUGGCGACCAGAAUGGUACAGGUCAGCUUUCAUUCAGAUGCAAGUUCACUACCUCAGAUCAAUGAACUCCAUUGAUGCAGCCAUAGACAGAAGGAUAUCUGAAAGUCAGCUCGCCAGCCGCAUGACAUUCUAAACCCCAUUACAUCGGUUGAGGUUUUGACCCAGUUGCUAUUUGUCCUCUGAACAACUCGAACAAUGAAGCACCAAGGUCUGCUCCUUUUGUAUUAGACCGGCAUAUUAGCAUUGUAACAUAUGUGGAGGUUGGUUGAUUGUGCCUUUAGACAUGAUGCAGAAUUUAUUAAGUUUGUUGUUCAACUUUAACAAGAGGCUGUUCUCAAAGUUACUUGAUAGCUCUUAGUUAACAUUAUCAGCUGCUUGUCAAAUUAAUAUCAUUGUUUCGAGUUGGUGU